GUGUGCAGUAAGCUUUGCACCCUGUUGGUUCUUGAAUGCACCUCAACUAGAUCAAAUUAGCUCCACCCAGGCCAAACCCCCUCAUUAGCUGAGCUUUUAUAAAGCACCUGUAUCAUCAUGGCUGCCUCUUGGCUUUGUCUCUGGCUGUUGGUUGCCACAUGGGACCAUCUCUGACUUUUAGCAGUCUGCUACCUGCCUGACUGUUGGGCCUGGAAGGGAUUCCAAGCUCCCCUGCCUGGAGUGGUGUGAUGAACUCUCCCUUAGCCUACUGAGUACAUAUGAGUGAAGUGGAGCUAGUAGCCAGCGUGUGGUGGAGGCUAGGCACGUUAGUGUGGUUCCCUUCACAGAUUGUAGUGAUAACAGCACGGUGACACGAUUUGCAGUGACUAUCGAUUGCAGUGGGCACAUGCGGUGGGUACUGGCCAUACCUUAACAAACUAGCAGAGGGGUUACCAGAGCCUCUGCCCUUGACGGACAUGAGGCCAUUUCUUAGCGUCAUGCACGCUAAAGCCCAUACAGCAAAAUGCGAGGUGAGAUGGGUGGCAGAAGCCAGGAUGGAGCAGGAAACCCAGUGGGAGAGGAAGUGGAGCAGGAAGAGUCAACAUGCUAACCCAACAGGCCAUGGGUUGGAACCGAAGAAAGAGGGAUAACCUUCAUCAAGCGUUGGCCCACAGAUACAUCAAAAUCACAGAUAGGGCAGCGGUGGAAGCUGUCAACCUCAGGAGCAUCAAGGAGCAGCACAACCUGGAUCAGGAGACCACAGAGCAGUGGGUGUGUGAUGUCAGGCAGUGGGCGUUAACAGACAGUCUACACUCCAGGGUGCAUUGAAGACCUCAGGGCUGAAAUUGAAAACUUAACAGUAACCCUUUUGCGCAAGAAGCAAGACCUGUAUCGUCAGCAUGAUAGCAACCAGACAAGACAGAGAAGAAAGACAAUGACACAGCUGAAGAUGAAGCCUCGUGAUCUGGUCUCGCAGUACAACGUCACCGUGGAAACACAUCAGAUUGACGAGGAGUUGGCGUGCAGUCUGACAGAGGGCUACAUCCUGCCAUGGGAGACACAUGAAGAUGGCGCUACCUUCAGGUUGAAGAGGUUGGUCUUUGACCAGAUAAUGCUGCUGAAACGCAUGGAGGAGGAGCAGAGCAUCCUGGUGAAAGAGAUGUCCCAACACGUUAUGUACCUUCUAAAGGAAGUACAACAAGUGGAGGCACUCAAGGGACAGACUUUGGAGAGCAUCAAAACAAACAAUUUUGGUGACCUGACAGAGGACGCUACACAUGGGCUCAACAGUGUUCUCAGUCGGAGGUGGCACUACCUAAAAAGCCAAAAGAAACAGGCGGUAAAUGCUUACAGUAGUAUAGCCUCGAAGGAACUUGUUUUCUUCCAUAUACAGGAGGACAUUGAGGAGUGGGAGGUCAACGGUUUCACUAGCCCCGAGUCAGAGGAAGAAGAAACGUAAAGGCCACUGCCUCUCUCCCUUUACGCUACUGUCCUCUCCAACUCGGCGUAAUCACUAUGUAUUGUAUUUCUUGUGUAUGCCCCUGUGAAAAGUGUUGAAAAAGACAUCUUAUUUAAUUAGUUACUUGUUACUGUAUGUAAAAUCAAUCAAAAUACCUUUAGUGUAGGGUGGCCUUGACAUAAAAAAGCCUUUAUGUAAAUUUUUUGUACAUAGGAUACUAAUAGCGUAAUAAUUGUUGGCAUUACUCUUUAAAUACUGUUUUAACAUUCCUAUAGGCCAGUAAGCCUUUUGUCAGGGGAUUUAUAUUUGCUAAUAAUAGCCUAUGUUGGAUAAAAAAUUGAUAUUUCAAAAAAUUUCAAAAAUUAAUAAAAAUUAGGAGGCAUUGACUCUGAGGACCAUCUAGGGGUCCCGUACCCCCUGUUAAAGAUCUGUGACCUAGACUGAGGUUGCUGAUCUGCUAGGGAGCUUUAAGGGAACCCAUUGAGAGAAAAAAGGGAAACCUGUUUCUGAUGUUCUGAUGUUUGAAAGUUCUUAAUUUUAGAUUUAAAUAAAGAUGUAUUGUCCCAGAGGGAUAUUUGUUUUAACAGCCUGUACAGAUAGCAAUAUAUAGACUUACAUCCCUAUACUUUUGUUGUCACUAUGUUCUAUGAAGAAAAUAUAGCCAUUUUUUAAAUGAUUAAAAUAAAUACAAGUGUAAAGAUAUAUGCCUAUACAUUGUUUAAUAUGUGCUUAGAGUCCCUUGACAUAAAAAUGUGCCAGGGCUACCUGGACCUGGUUUACUUGUAAACUGUAUUAUUAAAAACAUUGAAGUCA
Molecule: long non-coding RNA, 2272 nt
Organism: Sander lucioperca (pikeperch)
Lineage: Eukaryota; Metazoa; Chordata; Actinopteri; Perciformes; Percidae
Exons: 11
Source: RefSeq, a predicted model, not a curated record